CAUCGCCUUUCUCACAUGAGAUGGAGUUCUGGGGACACGCUCUUGUGCUCCGGUUCACAUUUUGAGGCUUAAUGCCCCAAGAAGAGCAGUCUGGCUUGUGGGGCCUCAGGAGGCGGGUCUCCUCGGGAGGACAGACCCCAGGUGGGCCAGUCUGUCCCCGCCACGGGGGCCUCGUUGGGGCUGAGAGGGUGGUGAGUGGACGUGCGCAGCUGCGCCCGACGGGGCUGGCGAGAGAGGACAGAGCGCAGACGGGCCUGCUGCUGGGCCGCCCCGGGCCCCUGCCCCAAGGCUCCGAACCCCCUCUUCCCCGCCGCUGCCGGCAGCCGGCAGACUCCUGUUGAUGCCUUGGACUUGGCCCUCAACAGACCGUCAUUGAUUCUAUCGGAUGUAGAAAAAGCACAUGCAUUGCUUCUAAAACACAGCAGCUCUUUAAAAAAAAAAAGCAGACCAGCGUGGCAGGCGCUCCCUGUAGCUCUCGGGGAGGAGGUCGGGACAGGGUGUGACCAGAGCUCGUCUGCUCUCCUGCGCCUCGCUCUGUUCCAGCCCCGCACCCGCCGCCAGCCCUGCUCCAGCCCCUUCUCCGUUGCCACCCCCUGCUGCACCCCCGCCACCCAGAGCUCCCCAGACGAACUCAGGCUCCAAGCCCUGUGUCCUCCCACCAGCUGGGCGCCCACCGGCUAUGCUCCUGCCCGACCCCUGACCUUGGGAGGGCUCCUUGCCCCUCUACUCAAGGACCACAGAAGUGCUUCCUGCAGCAGACUCUAAGCCUCUGACUGUGUGACAGUGGCACUCAGGGCGUGCCUACCGAGGGGCCACCGCUAAAGCGUCAGGACUUCAUGUUGUACGUCGCUUCAUGGCAAACAGACGGGGAAACGGUGGACACAGUGGCUGACUUUAUUCUUCUGGGCUCCAAAAUCACUGCAGAUGGUGACUGCAGCCAUGAAAUUAAAAGACGCUUACUCCUUGGAAGGAAAGUUAUGACCAACUUCGACAGCAUAUUAAAAAGCAGAGACAUUACUUUGCCUACAAAGGUCCAUCUAGUCAAGGCUAUGGUUUUUCCUGUGGUCAUGUAUGGAUAUGAGAGUUAACUGUGAAGAAAGCUGAGUGCCAAAGAAUUGAUGCUUUUGAACUGUGGUGUUGGAGAAGACUCUUGAGAGUCCCUUGGACUGCAAGGAGAUCCAACCAGUCCAUCUUAAAGGAGACCAGUCCUGGGUGUUCAUUGGAAGGACUGAUGCUGAAGCUGAAACUCCAGUACUUUGGCCACCUCAUGUGAAGAGUUGACUCAUUGGAAAAGGCCCUGAUGCUGGGAGGGAUUGGGGGCAGGAGGAGAAGGGGACGACAGAGGAUGAGAUGGCUGGAUGGCAUCACCAAAUCGAUGAACAUGGGUUUGGGUGGGAGUUGGUGAUGGACAGGGAGGCCUGGCAUGCUGUGAUUCAUCGGGUCGCACAGAGUCGGACCCGACUGAGCAACUGGACUGAGCUGAGCUGAGCUGAGCUGAGCUCACGCUAAGGGGCAGCUCACACCCACAGCACGUCUCCUGCUUCAAACGUCCCUCGGGCAGGUGGGCCCCGGGUCCCCGCGCCCCCCGGGGGUGGAGGCAGCACUGACUCAGGCCCACACUAGGGGCCCCUGAAGCCCCAGAGGCCUCGUCCAGAGAAGCAGGCUCGACCCCUCCAAUGGGCCUUGCUCUCCAGGAGGCCCAUCAACCCCGGGGUCUGCACCCUGAACGCUCGGCUUGGCAGA
Molecule: long non-coding RNA, 1743 nt
Organism: Budorcas taxicolor (takin)
Lineage: Eukaryota; Metazoa; Chordata; Mammalia; Artiodactyla; Bovidae
Exons: 3
Source: RefSeq, a predicted model, not a curated record